GACGAACGCUGGCGGCGUGCUUAACACAUGCAAGUCGAACGGAAAGGCCCUGCUUUUGUGGGGUGCUCGAGUGGCGAACGGGUGAGUAACACGUGAGUAACCUGCCCUUGACUUUGGGAUAACUUCAGGAAACUGGGGCUAAUACCGGAUAGGAGCUCCUGCUGCAUGGUGGGGGUUGGAAAGUUUCGGCGGUUGGGGAUGGACUCGCGGCUUAUCAGCUUGUUGGUGGGGUAGUGGCUUACCAAGGCUUUGACGGGUAGCCGGCCUGAGAGGGUGACCGGCCCCAUGGGGACUGGGGUACGGCCCGGACCCCUCCGGGGGGCAGGGGGGGGGAAUUUUGCACAAGGGGCGGAGGCGUGCUGCAGCAACGCCGCGUGCGGGAUGGCGGCCUUGGGGUUGUAAACCGCUUUCGCCUGUGACGAAGCGUGGGUGGCUGUAAUGGGUAAAGAAGCCCCGGCUAACUACGU
Molecule: ribosomal RNA, 467 nt
Filed under: uncultured bacterium
Lineage: Bacteria
Description: partial 16S ribosomal RNA
Rfam family: Bacterial small subunit ribosomal RNA
Source: RNAcentral